GGAGUUUGGGCCGUGUCUCAGUCCCAUUGUGGCUGAUCAUCCUCUCAAACCAGCUACUGAUCGUCGCCUUGGUGGUCCAUUACACCUCCAACUAGCUAAUCAGAUGCAGACUCAUCCUGAAGCGAUAAAUCUUUCACGAAUAGUAUUGCAACUACGCGCAUAUGGGGUAUUAGCAGAAGUUUCCCUCUGUUGUCCCCCUCUUCAGGGCAGAUUCUCUACACAUUACUCACCCGUCCGCCACUUUCCGUUACCCGAAGGUAAUUUCUCGUUCGACUUGCAUGUAUGAAGUACGCCGCCAGCGUUCGUCCUGAGCCAGUAUCAAACUCU
This 327-nucleotide ribosomal RNA is filed under the name uncultured cyanobacterium. RNAcentral describes it as "partial 16S ribosomal RNA". Lineage: Bacteria; Bacillati; Cyanobacteriota. The record is from RNAcentral.